UACGGAGGUAGAGCACUGAAUGUCCUAGGGGGUAUUGCACCUACCGAAGACUAUCAAACUCCGAAUGCCGUCAUCUUAUACUUGGGAGUCAGACUGUGGGUGAUAAGAUUCAUAGUCGAAAGGGCAACAGCCCAGAUCGUCAGCUAAGGUCCCUAAAUGUAAGUUAAGUGGUAAAGGAUGUGGGAUUGCACAGACAACCAGGAUGUUGGCUUAGAAGCAGCCACUCAUUCAAAGAGUGCGUAAUAGCUCACUGGUCGAGUGAUCCUGCGCCGAAGAUUUCCGGGGCUAAAACUUACUACCGAAGCUACGGCAUCAUUAUGAUGGGUAGGGGAGCUUCCCAUACGGGUUGAAGCAUGACCGUAAGGACAUGUGGACAGUAUGGGAGUGAGAAUGUUGGCAUGAGUAGCGAGAUGUGGGUGAGAAUCCCACAGGCCGUAAACCCAAGGU
Molecule: ribosomal RNA, 447 nt
Filed under: Clostridioides difficile
Lineage: Bacteria; Bacillati; Bacillota; Clostridia; Peptostreptococcales; Peptostreptococcaceae
Description: partial 23S ribosomal RNA
Rfam family: Bacterial large subunit ribosomal RNA
Source: RNAcentral